GACUCGAGUUCGUCAAACGCAAUAGACCAUUUUACGAUUUUCUCCAACGUACAAAAAUAUGCAAGACCGUUCAACAAAGUGGCUCGGAACAUCCUCCUUCAGUGUCCAGCGGUAGUCUGCCAACAUAGAGGGGAUCCACUUUCCUUGGUCAAACAAUAUAAGAUUCUAGAUCCAAGUACCCAGCUCUGAGUACAGCCUGGUCACCUGGUGCAACCCUGGAACGCCGACAUAAGGCUAAAACCAUUUGCGGUGCUGUUCAUUCAAACAGCUGUGAGGAUUGUCCCACCAUUAUCCCAUAUUCAGCUAUAUCCCUAGCUUUGAACGGAAGAAAAAUUCCUAAGGGGAACCAUCACCAGUAGAAGACCAUGCCUCUCCUGUGAAAUCCCCUGUCUCCGCUGGAGAUGGACUGGAACAUGUGUGUUAGCCAAUGUCUGUGAUUAUUGUCAUGUCCAUUUUGUUUCAUUUUGAGAAGGAAAACCUGAUAUUCCACCAAGUUCAGUGAGGGAUUUUGACUCAUAUGUAAUGGUAUUAACUCAGUUUAUGUCUCAUCGGAAACACCUCACUGAUUCACAUGCCAUUAGUGCGAGGCCAUGUGAUGUGUUCAGAAGAUCUGUUAUGAGGGUGAAAAGUGAGUGGCAUUAGGAACUAGUUCCUGUUGUGCCUGCAUUAGCAUUAAUACUAGCAGGAUGUAUCGCCAUCCUCAUGGCAUCCUUUCAAAUCUUUUCCAUGUUUGUCAAGUAUAAAUUAAACCUACCAGAAGAGUUCUAUUGGCUGUGUAGCCAUUUAGCUUAUACGUUUUGCCCAUGCAUUGAUCUGGUUCCUGUUUCAUGGUUGCCGUUAUUCCCCUAGUCGAUGCCAGUUGCCUACCAUCAGUCCAACAAAAUGUAAGUUGGAUUAAAUUCUAGGGAAAUUGCCAAAUUGAAUGGAGUAUGUCAUGGCUUCUUGUCAUGGCAGAUCCAUGGAUAGGAAGGGGUGCCAUCACCAGGUAUGGUAUUUUUCCUUUGGGGGAGUAAUUUGCAGAAAAUAAAUAAAAUAAAUCUUUUGUUGUGCAGCAUAUGGCCCACAAUUCUGCUGUAGCUUUGGGCUUUGGGCUCUGCCUUACUACUCCUCAUCCUCUCUGAAGGAAAAGAAAAAAUAAAGAAUGGUAACCUGAGUAUGUGGUUAUAAAAGGAAGUAGUGCUGUGCUUGCUUUGUGCUUGGCA
This is a long non-coding RNA of Electrophorus electricus (electric eel), 1202 nucleotides long. RefSeq lists it as uncharacterized. Lineage: Eukaryota; Metazoa; Chordata; Actinopteri; Gymnotiformes; Gymnotidae. The record is from RefSeq and is a predicted model, not a curated record.